This 425-nucleotide ribosomal RNA is filed under the name uncultured bacterium. RNAcentral describes it as "bacterial SSU rRNA". It matches the Rfam family "Bacterial small subunit ribosomal RNA", at positions 356 to 773 of the family's 1533-position model. The record is from RNAcentral.
GGGGAAUUUUGGACAAUGGGCGUAAGCCUGAUCCAGCCAUGCCGCGUGCAGGAUGAAGGCCUUCGGGUUGUAAACUGCUUUUGUAUGGAAUGAAAAAGCUCUCUCUAAUACAGGGGGUGAAUGACGGUACCGUAAGAAUAAGCACCGGCUAACUACGUGCCAGCAGCCGCGGUAAUACGUAGGGUGCAAGCGUUAAUCGGAAUUACUGGGCGUAAAGCGUGCGCAGGCGGUUAUGUAAGACAGAGGUGAAAUCCCCGGGCUCAACCUGGGAACUGCCUUUGUGACUGCAUAGCUGGAGUGCGGCAGAGGGGGAUGGAAUUCUGCGUGUAGCAGUGAAAUGCGUAGAUAUGCGGAGGAAUACCGAUGGCGAAGGCAAUCCCCUGGGCCUGCACUGACGCUCAUGCACGAAAGCGUGGGGAGCAAAC